RNAcentral lists this ribosomal RNA (1343 nucleotides) under uncultured bacterium. Its description in RNAcentral is "16S ribosomal RNA". It matches the Rfam family "Bacterial small subunit ribosomal RNA", at positions 28 to 1378 of the family's 1533-position model. The record is from RNAcentral.
GACGAACGCUGGCGGCGUGCUUAACACAUGCAAGUCGAACGGAAAGGCCCUGCUUUUGUGGGGUGCUCGAGUGGCGAACGGGUGAGUAACACGUGAGUAACCUGCCCUUGACUUUGGGAUAACUUCAGGAAACUGGGGCUAAUACCGGAUAGGAGCUCCUGCUGCAUGGUGGGGGUUGGAAAGUUUCGGCGGUUGGGGAUGGACUCGCGGCUUAUCAGCUUGUUGGUGGGGUAGUGGCUUACCAAGGCUUUGACGGGUAGCCGGCCUGAGAGGGUGACCGGCCACAUUGGGACUGAGAUACGGCCCAGACUCCUACGGGAGGCAGCAGUGGGGAAUAUUGCACAAUGGGCGGAAGCCUGAUGCAGCAACGCCGCGUGCGGGAUGACGGCCUUCGGGUUGUAAACCGCUUUCGCCUGUGACGAAGCGUGAGUGACGGUAAUGGGUAAAGAAGCACCGGCUAACUACGUGCCAGCAGCCGCGGUGAUACGUAGGGUGCGAGCGUUGUCCGGAUUUAUUGGGCGUAAAGGGCUCGUAGGUGGUUGAUCGCGUCGGAAGUGUAAUCUUGGGGCUUAACCCUGAGCGUGCUUUCGAUACGGGUUGACUUGAGGAAGGUAGGGGAGAAUGGAAUUCCUGGUGGAGCGGUGGAAUGCGCAGAUAUCAGGAGGAACACCAGUGGCGAAGGCGGUUCUCUGGGCCUUUCCUGACGCUGAGGAGCGAAAGCGUGGGGAGCGAACAGGCUUAGAUACCCUGGUAGUCCACGCUGUAAACGGUGGGUACUAGGUGUGGGGUCCAUUCCACGGGUUCCGUGCCGUAGCUAACGCUUUAAGUACCCCGCCUGGGGAGUACGGCCGCAAGGCUAAAACUCAAAGGAAUUGACGGGGCCCCGCACAAGCGGCGGAGCAUGCGGAUUAAUUCGAUGCAACGCGUAGAACCUUACCUGGGUUUGACAUGGAUCGGGAGCGCUCAGAGAUGGGUGUGCCUCUUUUGGGGUCGGUUCACAGGUGGUGCAUGGCUGUCAUCAGCUCGUGUCGUGAGAUGUUGGGUUAAGUCCCGCAACGAGCGCAACCCUUGUUCACUGUUGCCAGCACGUUAUAGUGGGGACUCAGUGGAGACCGCCGGGGUCAACUCGGAGGAAGGUGGGGAUGACGUCAAGUCAUCAUGCCCCUUAUGUCCAGGGCUUCACGCAUGCUACAAUGGCUGGUACAGAGAGUGGCGAGCCUGUGAGGGUGAGCGAAUCUCGGAAAGCCGGUCUCAGUUCGGAUUGGGGUCUGCAACUCGACCUCAUGAAGUCGGAGUCGCUAGUAAUCGCAGAUCAGCAACGCUGCGGUGAAUACGUUCCCGGG